This is a long non-coding RNA of Juglans microcarpa x Juglans regia, 378 nucleotides long. RefSeq lists it as uncharacterized. The transcript has 3 exons. Lineage: Eukaryota; Viridiplantae; Streptophyta; Magnoliopsida; Fagales; Juglandaceae. The record is from RefSeq and is a predicted model, not a curated record.
GGGUCGUGUCCUUGAUCCUUUUCGAAGUAGUUUAUCUCCGAUGAUGGUUGAGGCUCUCAUUUGUACACAGAAUUGGCUUCGUUCUUCUUCUAUUCCAAUCAACCUUAAGACUUUAAUGAAUGAGGUGGAGGAUUUUGAAAGGCAGUUGGAACUUAUUCGGGACGGUGACAAUUCUAUGGAGGCUUCAAAUACAAUGUCUACAACCAAUGCAAGUUAAUGAGAAUACUGUGAAAACUGAAAAGUAUGCCAAGCCAAAAGAUGUAGGAAGCUAUGGCUUAUGAGCUGUCAGGAGAAGAAUUAUCUUUAUUGUAAUUUGUAUUUAGAGCUUUUAAUUUUUCAGUUAUUUGGGAAUUGUAUAAUUUUUAAUUUUCAUUAUAA